UAGGGAAUCUUCCACAAUGGACGCAAGUCUGAUGGAGCAACGCCGCGUGAGUGAAGAAGGGUUUCGGCUCGUAAAGCUCUGUUGUUAAAGAAGAACGUGGGUAAGAGUAACUGUUUUACCCAGUGACGGUAUUUAACCAGAAAGCCACGGCUAACUACGCGCCAG
This 165-nucleotide ribosomal RNA is filed under the name uncultured bacterium. RNAcentral's name for it is "partial 16S rRNA". It matches the Rfam family "Bacterial small subunit ribosomal RNA", at positions 355 to 511 of the family's 1533-position model. The record is from RNAcentral.